RNAcentral lists this ribosomal RNA (282 nucleotides) under uncultured prokaryote. RNAcentral's name for it is "partial 16S ribosomal RNA". It matches the Rfam family "Bacterial small subunit ribosomal RNA", at positions 524 to 803 of the family's 1533-position model. The record is from RNAcentral.
GACAGAGGGUGCAAACGUUGCUCGGAAUUACUGGGCGUAAAGGGCGCGUAGGCGGAUUUGGAAGUCGGGUGUGAAAUCCCUGGGCUCAACCUAGGAACUGCAUUCGAAACUCCAAGUCUAGAGUGACGGAGAGGAAAGCGGAAUUCCCGGUGUAGAGGUGAAAUUCGUAGAUAUCGGGAGGAACACCAGAGGCGAAGGCGGCUUUCUGGACGUCUACUGACGCUGAGGCGCGAAAGCGUGGGGGGCAAACAGGAUUAGAUACCCCGGUAGUCCCUGAGCGGG